RNAcentral lists this ribosomal RNA (495 nucleotides) under Tritogenia lunata. Its description in RNAcentral is "partial 16S ribosomal RNA". It matches the Rfam family "Bacterial large subunit ribosomal RNA", at positions 1808 to 2606 of the family's 2925-position model. Lineage: Eukaryota; Metazoa; Annelida; Clitellata; Crassiclitellata; Microchaetidae. The record is from RNAcentral.
CAAAAACAUUGCCUCAAGGCAAUAUUAUUUGAGGUAACUCCUGCCCGGUGACACUAGUUUAACGGCCGCGGUACCUUAACCGUGCAAAGGUAGCAUAAUCAUUUGCCCAUUAAUUGUGGGCUAGAAUGAAUGGAUAAACGAAAUAAAAGCUGUCUCAAUUUAUUUAAUAUAAAUUAACAUCUAAUUGAAGAGUAUUAGAUAAAUUUGAAGGACAAGAAGACCCUAUAGAGCUUCAUUUUUGACCAGUAAUCUAAUAAUCAAAAUUCGGUUGGGGCGACCCAGGAAUAAUAAUCAUCCUUUUUUAUUAAGAUUAAUUAAUCAUAAUAAUGAUCCUAAAAGACUAAAGAACAAGCUACCUUAGGGAUAACAGGCUAAUCCCAUUAAAGAGUCCCUAUUAAUAAUGGGGAUUGGCACCUCGAUGUUGGCUUAGGAUAUCUUCAUGGCGCAAAAGUCAUAAAAGCAGGUUUGUUCAACCUCUAAUUUCCUACGUGAUCU